RNAcentral lists this long non-coding RNA (627 nucleotides) under Diabrotica virgifera virgifera (western corn rootworm). Its description in RNAcentral is "uncharacterized LOC126892655". Lineage: Eukaryota; Metazoa; Arthropoda; Insecta; Coleoptera; Chrysomelidae. The record is from RNAcentral.
AGUGUGUAUUCUCAUAUGCGCUUUUAAACUGGAUUUUAAUGAAAACGUUUUGGAGCAAAUCUCACAUGGAAAAGGUUUAUCACCAGUGUGUAUUCUCAUAUGCGCUUUUAAACUGGAUUUUAAUGAAAACGUUUUGGAGCAAAUCUCACAUGGAAAAGGUUUAUCCCCAGUAUGUACUCUCAUAUGGUCUUUUAAAUUGGAUCUUUGUGAAAACCUCUUGGAGCAAAUGUCACAUGCAAAAGGUUUAUCGCCAGUAUGUACUCUCAUAUGUUCUGAUAACCCGGAUCUAUUUGAAAAACUCUUGGAGCAAAUUUCACAUUCAAAAGGUUUAUCACCCGUGUGUAUUUUCAUAUGCUUUUUUAAAUUGGAUGUUAGUGAAAAGGUUUUGGAGCAAAUUUCACAUGGAAAAGGUUUAUCACCCGUGUGUAUUUUCAUAUGCUUUUUUAAAUUGGAUGUUAGUGAAAAGGUUUUGGAGCAAAUUUCACAUGGAAAAGGUUUAUCACCCGUGUGUAUUUUCAUAUGCUUUUUUAAAUUGGAUGUUAGUGAAAAGGUUUUGGAGCAAAUUUCACAUGGAAAAGGUUUAUCCCCAGUAUGUACUCUCAUAUGGUCUUUUAACCUGGAUCUUUG